CGGCCUGGCAGGUUAUCUUCCAGCUCCGAUUCUUCCGACAGUCAAGUUGAAGAGGAUGAAUCAGAGGAAGAAAGCAGCACAGACAUUAGUACUUCUGAAUCAGAUGAGUCGUCGAUCUCAUCACAAAGCUCCUCUGAAUCGGACGAUUCUAAUUCUGAAUCUUCUGAAACUGAUUCCUCGCCUUCUCCGCCAAGUAGCGCUUCCGAAUGAAAUCCAGUAGCAGCGCCGCUAGGUGAGAAAAAUUAGCAAAGAAUGAAAUUUAUGCGGGACAAGUGAAAUAAAAGCC
Ctenocephalides felis (cat flea) is the source of this 286-nucleotide long non-coding RNA. RefSeq lists it as uncharacterized. Lineage: Eukaryota; Metazoa; Arthropoda; Insecta; Siphonaptera; Pulicidae. The transcript has 3 exons. The record is from RefSeq and is a predicted model, not a curated record.